AGAGUUUGAUCCUGGCUCAGGAUGAACGCUAGCGGGAGGCCUAAUACAUGCAAGUCGAGCGGUAGAGUGACUUCGGUUGCUUGAGAGCGGCGCACGGGUGAGUAACGCGUACAUGACCUACCUUUAAGACUGGGAUAGCCCUGGGAAACUGGGAUUAAUACCGGAUGUGAUAAUAGAUAUAAAGAUUUAUUAUUAAAGUUGCGGCGCUUAGAGAUGGGUGUGCGUCUGAUUAGCUAGUUGGUAGGGUAACGGCCUACCAAGGCGACGAUCAGUAGGGGGCGUGAGAGCGUGGCCCCCCACACGGGUACUGAGACACGGACCCGACUCCUACGGGAGGCAGCAGUAAGGAAUAUUGGUCAAUGGACGGAAGUCUGAACCAGCCAUCCCGCGUGCAGGAUGAAGGUCCUAUGGAUUGUAAACUGCUUUUGGCAGAGACGAAAUGUUGUCAUUUAUGAUGAUUUGACGGUAUCUGCAGAAUAAGCACCGGCUAACUCCGUGCCAGCAGCCGCGGUAAUACGGAGGGUGCAAGCGUUAUCCGGAAUCACUGGGUUUAAAGGGUGCGUAGGCGGAAUAUUAAGUCAGUGGUGAAAUCCUGUCGCUUAACGAUAGAAUUGCCAUUGAUACUGAUAUUCUUGAAUUGGGUUGAGGUUAGCGGAAUGUGACAUGUAGCGGUGAAAUGCAUAGAUAUGUCAUGGAACACCAAUUGCGAAGGCAGCUAGCUGGGCCUUGAUUGACGCUGAGGCACGAAAGCGUGGGUAGCGAACAGGAUUAGAUACCCUGGUAGUCCACGCCCUAAACGA
RNAcentral lists this ribosomal RNA (800 nucleotides) under uncultured bacterium. RNAcentral describes it as "bacterial SSU rRNA". It matches the Rfam family "Bacterial small subunit ribosomal RNA", at positions 8 to 809 of the family's 1533-position model. The record is from RNAcentral.